RNAcentral lists this ribosomal RNA (433 nucleotides) under uncultured bacterium. Its description in RNAcentral is "partial 16S ribosomal RNA". It matches the Rfam family "Bacterial small subunit ribosomal RNA", at positions 29 to 507 of the family's 1533-position model. The record is from RNAcentral.
AACGAACGCUGGCGGCAUGCCUAACACAUGCAAGUCGAACGAGACCUUCGGGUCUAGUGGCGCACGGGUGCGUAACGCGUGGGAACCUGCCCUUAGGUUCGGAAUAACUCCCCGAAAGGGGUGCUAAUACCGGAUAAUGUCUUCGGACCAAAGAUUUAUCGCCUUUGGAUGGGCCCGCGUUGGAUUAGCUAGUUGGUAGGGUAAAAGCCUACCAAGGCGACGAUCCAUAGCUGGUCUGAGAGGAUGAUCAGCCACACUGGGACUGAGACACGGCCCAGACUCCUACGGGAGGGAGCAGUGGGGAAUAUUGGACGAUGGGCGAAAGCCUGAUACAGCAGUGCCGCGUGAGUGAUGAAGGCCUUAGGGUUGUAAAGCUCUUUUACCCGGGAUGAUAAUGACAGUACCGGGAGAAUAAGCUCCGGCUAACUCCGUG